RNAcentral lists this ribosomal RNA (496 nucleotides) under uncultured bacterium. RNAcentral's name for it is "partial 16S ribosomal RNA". It matches the Rfam family "Bacterial small subunit ribosomal RNA", at positions 28 to 506 of the family's 1533-position model. The record is from RNAcentral.
GAUGAACGCUGGCGGCGUGCCUAAUACAUGCAAGUCGAGCGAACAGACGAGGAGCUUGCUCCUCUGACGUUAGCGGCGGACGGGUGAGUAGCACGUGGAUAACCUACCUAUAAGACUGGGAUAACUUCGGGAAACCGGAGCUAAUACCGGAUAAUAUAUUGAACCGCAUGGUUCAAUAGUGAAAGACGGUUUUGCUGUCACUUAUAGAUGGAUCCGCGCCGCAUUAGCUAGUUGGUAAGGUAACGGCUUACCAAGGCGACGAUGCGUAGCCGACCUGAGAGGGUGAUCGGCCACACUGGAACUGAGACACGGUCCAGACUCCUACGGGAGGCAGCAGUAGGGAAUCUUCCGCAAUGGGCGAAAGCCUGACGGAGCAACGCCGCGUGAGUGAUGAAGGUCUUCGGAUCGUAAAACUCUGUUAUUAGGGAAGAACAAAUGUGUAAGUAACUAUGCACGUCUUGACGGUACCUAAGCAGAAAGCCACGGCUAACUACGU